Molecule: ribosomal RNA, 225 nt
Filed under: uncultured bacterium
Lineage: Bacteria
Description: partial 16S ribosomal RNA
Rfam family: Bacterial small subunit ribosomal RNA
Source: RNAcentral
GAUCCUGGCUCAGGAUGAACGCUAGCUACAGGCUUAACACAUGCGAGUCGAGGGGCAGCAUGGUCUUAGCUUGCUAAGACUGAUGGCGACCGGCGCACGGGUGGGUAACACGUAUCCAACCUGCCGUCUACUCUUGGACAGCCUUCUGAAAGGAAGAUUAAUACAAGAUGGCAUCAUGAGUCCGCAUGUUCACAUGAUUAAAGGUAUUCCGGUAGACGAUGGGGA